Molecule: ribosomal RNA, 233 nt
Filed under: Salmonella enterica subsp. enterica serovar Oranienburg
Lineage: Bacteria; Pseudomonadati; Pseudomonadota; Gammaproteobacteria; Enterobacterales; Enterobacteriaceae
Also listed under: 1 other name
Description: partial 23S ribosomal RNA
Rfam family: Bacterial large subunit ribosomal RNA
Source: RNAcentral
GGGUUGUGAGGUUAAGCGACUAAGCGUACACGGUGGAUGCCCUGGCAGUCAGAGGCGAUGAAGGACGUGCUAAUCUGCGAUAAGCGCCGGUAAGGUGAUAUGAACCGUUAUAACCGGCGAUUUCCGAAUGGGGAAACCCAGUGUGACUCGUCACACUAUCAUUAACUGAAUCCAUAGGUUAAUGAGGCGAACCGGGGGAACUGAAACAUCUAAGUACCCCGAGGAAAAGAAAU